AUUCCUUGCCACAAAACCAUAUUUAUUAGCAAACCAGGCAUUCUUGACACGGUCAACAAAGCCAUACCUGCUUGCAGGCUUCCCAUAGGCAUCUGGUUGGCCACUGUGAGAGCUGGAUACUGGACUAGAUGGGCCACUGGCCUGACCCAACAGGGCUUUUCUUAUGCUUUGUUUUUUGCACUUCAUGAUGUAACCUCACCAGCUUGAACCACAGACUCAGGAACUGUGAUCUGGAAAAUUCACCAUCCCAAGUUCAGAAUUGAAUAGAGUGGCACAUUACCAUGAUCAGGCGUCAAUGACAUCUACUCCCAGACAUGGCAGAAGUCUAGGAAUGCAGUGAAGUUCACCACAACCACCACCUACAGCAACUGUGCUAGCCGAUGUACCUCAUGCACCACCUGCCAACACAAUAUUUGCAGUGAUGUUCCUCAUCUGUACCUGCUGAUGAACAUAAAGAAUCUACUGCUGCAACAUCUACUGCUGCACCAUUGACACUCAAAUAUGCACCUGUCCCCUUCGGCAAUCAAGAGGAAGUCAGGGAAACUCACACUGCCGGAAAUACUGAAAGCACUAUGUCUAAGUCAACCACUUUUGGUAGGACAUAAGAGCAUUAUGAAAUCAUCUUUCAAGUUCAUCAAGCAUGGUCCAAAAGACAAGAACUUUGAACAUUUUCAUCAAAAUGACCAACACUAUGUUAGGAAUUCAGCUGAUGAGAAAGUGCACAAACCAAUGUAAGGAACACUACCAAUAUGUAUCUGACAGUAAUGAUGUUGGUGCUGUUUGUACUGAAGUGGUUGACUCUCUUGUUGACAAUCUGACCAUCUUGAAGCAUAAGAAAUUUUAACAUGCUCAGCAUAAUGUGAAAGAAGCCACCAUGGCGCACCUGUGUAAUCUUCUGUUCUGUGCUUAUUUUGUACUGGUAUGUAAUGACUGUAUACCUACAUACUGUUUAAAAGAGUUCAAUAUGAAUCAAUAAAUGCUUUUGACUAGUCA
Long non-coding RNA from Rhineura floridana, 993 nucleotides. RefSeq lists it as uncharacterized. The transcript is spliced from 2 exons. Lineage: Eukaryota; Metazoa; Chordata; Lepidosauria; Squamata; Rhineuridae. The record is from RefSeq and is a predicted model, not a curated record.